UGGCAAGCGUUAUCCGGAUUUAUUGGGCGUAAAGCGAGCGCAGGCGGUUCGAUAAGUCUGAAGUUAAAGGCUGUGGCUUAACCAUAGUAUGCUUUGGAAACUGUUCAACUUGAGUGCAGAAGAGGAGAGUGGAACUCCAUGUGUAGCGGUGAAAUGCGUAGAUAUAUGGAAGAACACCAGUGGCGAAAGCGGCUCUCUGGUCUGUAACUGACGCUGAGGUUCGAAAGCGUGGGUAGCAAAC
This 241-nucleotide ribosomal RNA is filed under the name uncultured bacterium. RNAcentral describes it as "partial 16S ribosomal RNA". It matches the Rfam family "Bacterial small subunit ribosomal RNA", at positions 532 to 773 of the family's 1533-position model. The record is from RNAcentral.